AUUUAAAGAAAGUUUUAAUUACCAUAAAUGUUACCGUUGUUAUCAGUCCAAUUUUAUAUCUCUCUUCAUUCCAUAGCUCCCUAGCCGAUUCUUUUCCCCCCCUUCGUCUUUCUCCUCUCUGUCUCUUUUCAAUUUUUUCUUAUUCUUUUUUAGAUUUGGUUAAAGGCAGGCCAGAAAAACACUCCCACCCGCUUCUCUGCCGUUUCACCGCAUACCAACGCCAACUGAAGAUGGUGACGGAGAACCAGAACUCUUUAGAAAAAGAUUUUUGAAAUCUCGCUAUUAACCCUUUUCACAACUUUCUUUCCCUUCCCACUUCCAGGUUGCUAGAUUAUUCAAUGAAGCUGCUCAGAUGUCUCCUGAGGAUGUUGAUGUACACAUUGUCCUUGGUGUUCUGUAUAAUUUGUCGAGUGAAAAUGAUAAGGCCAUUGCAUCUUUCAAAACUGCUUUGAAACUUAAACCUAAUGAUUAUUCUCUUUGGAACAAGCUUGGUGUAACACAAGCCAACAGUGUGCAGAGUGCUGAUGCAAUAUUAGCUUAUCAACAGGUUGCCUCUUCAUGAUUCCCCCUUGAAUAGUGGUGGCCUAUCUGUAUACCACCUGAUAUGUUGAUUUCAUAAUUACUUUUUUUAUAAUUAAAAAUUUAUUUUCCCUCUCCUAAAAUUUUGGGGUUUUCUUUACUAAGUUGGAGUACCUGUAACGUGUGAAAUUCAAAAUAUAUGAGUACUAGGAUUUUACUAAGGAUCACAAAUUGUAUGGUGUGUUGCUCACUAUUUUGCAUGUUAGGCCAGAAUAAAAAAAAAUGAAUUAUGAAGGUGUUGACAAUGUUGGCAAGGGUGCUAUAACUACCUGAACCAUUUGAGGUGCAAGAUGUAAAAAAGGCACUUUUUUGAGUAAAUUAAGGUGAAUAUGUAAAUUUUUGCUUCUUGAAUCAGGGGGGCUUUUUUGCUUCUAUACAAAAAAGUGUGCCUAGGACUUGGCUUGUGCUUAAUCAAUUGAAAGGAUGGUAUAAAGAAAUGCAAAACAUGUGAUAACCCAACAUGUCAAUCUUCUUUGUGCCAAACUCAUAUGGGUUGCAUCAUCUUUUCCUCUAUUUCUCUUCUUUCUUAUCUUUCAAUGGUAAAGUGAUGCAUUGGUGUGUUAUACAGCUCUCUUAUAGGGUUGAAUUAUUUACUUGCUCCAUCUUUGUAACCUUAGGCUGCUAAAAAGAUUCUCCAAAUAACAUCUUGCACCUAGUUGGACCUCAGAAGACAAACUAGCUCUUCUAUUAAGCUCCAUGUAAUUAGUUAUUUGAUUUCUUGGAGCUAUUGGUUAAUUUAGAUGAUUUGAUUACGCACUUCCUCAAUUUACAUAUACCCUUGAUCAUAUCUUUCAAAAUUCCUUUUUUUAAUGCAUUCAGAUCUUGCAUAUGCAGUUUGAUUUGUUUAGCCUCUGUUACUGAGAUUGUCCAUUUAAAAUUAUUUGAUGAUAAACUUCCCUUUGCCUGUGGUGGCCAUAUUUUCAGCACUAUUGAAUUUAGUCUUUUGGUCUAUAUCUGGAUCUUUAGGCACUAGAUUUGAAGCCAAACUAUGUGCGUGCUUGGGCAAACAUGGGUAUCAGUUACGCCAACAAGUGAAGCAUAUCGGACCCUUUCCGCUUGGUUUUGGGCGAUUAGCAUCAGCAUAGUGUACGAAUGGAGUCAGGGGCGAAGGAGGAAGGGAAAGUGCUGGGAUAUAACAGCAAAUACGUGAAGAAAGUGGCGUUACUUUCAACACUGGCUGCACUCCUUGACGAUCCAAUUCUCGCCGAUGUCCCUAAGGAACCCAGUUUGUCCAAUGUCGAUAUCCUAAUCAACCUUGAACUGGGGAGUGCCAUGUGUAUCUCUAUCUUCAAAUUAGAUGGAACCUUCUUCGAUGUUGCAGUGAUGAAUUCAGCCACGGUGAAAGACUUGAAGCUCGCAAUCGAGAAGAAAGUGAUUGAGUUAGAGCAAUCCAAGAUGGGGCAUCGACACAUUUCAUGGAGGCACGUUUGGGCUAAUUUCUGCCUAGCACACCACAAUGAGAAGCUCUUUAAUGAUGGCGCUGCACUUCAGGAUUUUGGUGUUCGAAAUAAUUCUCAGGUACAUUUUUUACCUUAUGUUGUCUCAAAAGGUUCUGGGAGACAUUCUAAGAGUAGAAAACACCGUUUCUUCCAUGGCCUGAACAAGCAUUCAUGAUGACAUGCCAUCAUUUGGGCAUCCCUGUUUUCUGAUCCAACUCAUUCCACAAAUUCACAAUGUUCCAUAGCAAAAUAAAUGUGCUUCUUCCAAUGAAGUCCGUGAAGCCUUGAAGGAUGAACACCUUCAAAAACUAAUCUCUGAUAUCGAUAGCUCCCUAGAUGCAUUGAAUGUCAGUGAUGUUAUUCCCACUUGAAAACCAAGACCUGAGACUUAUUUUCCUUUUUUCUGAUGUUGUUUGUGUGCCUACUAAAUGGUGUUUUUACCUUUUGUUAGAACUCGACAAAUAUAUGGGACUGGAUUUUUUCGCAUUUUCAGUGAUAAGAUUUUAUCUGUGGUCAAUCAAUGACCACAUAUCAUAAGGCCUCUGAAGUUCUUUCUUGAAUACAUCAAUGCCAAUAUAUUUAUAUCCAAGUUUUUCUGCUUGCUCAGAUGAGAAACCAACCUGUUGUCUAUGAGCCUGGUCAGUGCUCGAUGUUUCUGUAAGUUUUGUAUUUUGGUUAAUCGUUAUUCAUAUUUUUCUUGUGUUGUGUAUCUUAUGUUAGUUUUCAUCUUGACGAAAAUGUCUGUAAUGGCCUUCAUGUCAUUUUUUUUACAGUAGAUCCCUACAAUUUCCUUAUCUCUUCCAAUCCCUGUUAAAUUGUUUGUUUUUCCUAUGAAUGGUAGUAUUAUCAUGAGCACUCAAGCUUUAUGAGAUAUGGUCUUUCAAAUAUAUUCCAAAUCUGGUGAUGGGUUAAGAGUUUGAAUCCUUCAUGGAAGGUCUAUUAUUGUUAUAAUUAUUAACACUAAAACCCCAAACCUCAAUUUGCACUGAUUUUUUAACAAAGAAAGGACAAGAAAAAGACUAUAUAUGAUCAUAAGAAUGUAAAUCAUGUAAAUAUAUAAUUUCUGUUAAAUAGUGUAAUGGUUUAAUUUUACUUUUCAUUCUUAUAAGCAUAAGAUUAAAAAUAUUAAUUCAAUAAUUAAUGUUAAUAUGUAUUUGAUUGGUUGGAAAGGUAAAUAGAUAAAAUUGAUGAACUAUAAACCAAAUCUAUCACUAAAUUUAUUAUAUCAAAUUAUAAUUUUUUAAAGGGUAAAAAAUUAAGAGGGGGACUAAAUAUAAAUUUACCCUAUUUUAAAAAUGUAUGGUAUUUAAGGAAGUUUAAAAAAUUCAAGAGGGGAAAAAUAGAAAAUAUUCAUUUUAUGGAAUAGAAUGCAAAAAUUGGGGAAGAAUUUGAAAGUUUAGGAUGCCCAAACAUGUAAGUAUUCCAGUUUUGAAUGGGAUACCACAAGCUAGGGAGCUUCAAAAUUUUAGGGGCUAGUCUCCUGUGAACCCCUCUGGUUCAAUGGUUUUCGGUGUAGGCUGUACCGGAUUGUAAUUUCAGAAAUCUCCUGUUUCCCAAUUUCCCAAUUUCUCAAUGAUCUCUCUCCUAUAAUGCCAUCCAGAGCGAGAACGUCACUGUGUAACAAAAGGCUUUCUGAGUCCAGUUUUACAUUGAUUUCCUCAAGGUCAAAUGGUCGCAACCAAGAUGAUUCUCUGAUCAAACAUGGUGAAUACUGGCCUCAACAUGAUGAACUACAUGGUGCUUGUUUCAAUGCCUCGGAAGUGACCACUGGAAAAACUAAUGAUAACACGAAUGGUGGCAUGGUUGAGAUUUCCGAUGAUGAUAGGUUGGAUAAGAUGUUGGAAUUUUCAUCUAAGAACAUCUGGGAACAUGUUGAAUCUGAUGAAUUUAUGGAACAUAUGCGUCAACGUUUGGAUUCUUAGCCCUCUUCCCUUGGUGGAAAUCAGGCCACGUUAAUUCAGCUCCCAUCUCAUAUUCUACCAUUAAACCAUGAUCCCUUGAUCUCACCAGCUGGGAGAGUUGGUGAUCAUGUUGAUAAUGAUCACCAUGGAGUUUGACCAUUAAACCCUGAUCCCUUGAUCUCAUCAGCUAGGAGAGUUGGUGAUCAUGUUGAUAGCGAUCACCAUGGACUUUGUGUACCAGAAAAUAUGGAGGAUUCUCAGAAAGUGUCAUGUUUUCACCAGCUCAUAAUCCCUUAUGAACAAUUUGCUGACGAGGUUGACCAGCUAUCCAAAUCCCAAGAUAACUCAAAAGGGGAGAGGCAAGUUUCACAUUGCUUUCUUAGCUGUGGGAUUUAUUGAAUUCAGGAAUAAACAUUCCCAGAUGAGACUGAAGCCUGGAAACACUGCAACUGUAGAAGAUCCAGAUGUUUGAAACUGUACAUUUUUUACCUUAUGUUGUCUAAAAAGGUUCUGGGAGACAUUCUAAGAGGAGAAAACACCGUUUCUUCCAUGGCCUGAACAAGCAUUCAUGAUGACAUUCAAUCAUUCGGGCAUCCCUGUUUUCUGAUCCAGCUCAUUCCACAAAUUCACAAUGUUCCAUAGCAAAGUAAAUGUGGUACAAAUAUAUUUAUUCAUCACUCGAGGCAAAGCAAAAGGGAAAGUAGGAGGAUUUUGAGGAGAGUGAAAAAUGGCUGGUCCUGCUUCAUCGGAGAGUGAAGUCAUUCUGAAAAUACUAUUCGGGUCAGGAGGUUGCCUCAGUUCCCACCAUUUUUAUCGGUGGAAAUCAUGAAGCUUCCAAUUAUUUAUGGGAAUUGUAUUAUGGGGGAUGGACGGCACCUAAUAUAUACUUCUUGGGGUUUGCUGGGGUUGUGAAGUUUGGCAAUAUCCGUAUUGGUGGACUUUCCGGAAUUUACUAUGCACGUAAUUAUUGUUUAGGUUGGGUUUGAAGUUCUUUUACUUGUCUAUUUUGUGUUUAUUCUGGAGUUCUUUUAAUGAUGAUUGUUUAUUUACUGCAAGCGAGUGUCAAAUAUGUUAUAUUGAUUCGUAUUUAGGGUGGAGAGUUGAAGCUUUGAAACUGAAAUGAAUUAGCUAGGGAGCUUCAAAAUUUUAGGGGCUAGUCCCCUGUGAACCCCUUUGGCUCAAAUGUUUUUGCGUGUAGGCUGCAUCGGAUUGUAAUUUCAGGUAUGAUUUUCACUUUUACUAACUUUUUAUUUUCAUGUUUUUUUUAGUUUCAAACCUAUGCUUAUCUUCUUUUAGAACAAGUUUUCAUCUCUGUUUUAGUUUUCAGAUUUAUGCAUAUAUUCGUCUUUUUAAAUCUUGUGAUGUCAUUUUUUUGAUAGUUUAUCGCCUGUUAUGUGUUUUAUUUUUUAUUUUUGUCGGUUGUUUGUUUCUCUCUGUAAUCUGUAUUGAGGGACAUUUUCUUGCAAAUCUUUGAGUCCUAUUUAUGAGAUUUUAUAGCGAAGAUAUGUUUCUAACAACUAUAUAAGUAUCUACCCUAAAACCUUAACUGAUUAGCAGAAAAUAAAUGGUGACAUUUUCUUGUUUCUUUCCCUUUUAUUGUUUCCUCAUUUUCUCUUUUCAACAAGUAAAAACACUACAUUUGUUGAGGGAAUAAGAAAACACUAAUUAAAUCAUACCGAGUUUCAAAUAUUUUCUGAGAAAUAUAUUAAAUAUUUUCACAACAACGUUUUAUUAAGUACAGGGAUAUCCCCGUCAAUAAAAAAAAAAAGAAGAAAAAGUACUGGGUUAAUUGCCUUGAAGAAAAAAAGGAAAAGAAAAAGUACUGGGUUAAUUGCCUUCAAAAGAAAAAGGAAAAGGAAAAAAAAAAAGAAUAAGAAAAAGUACAGGGUAAAUUUUCAUUCUUCUUCUGGUGUAGGGAUAUCCCCGUCUUAUCCUUUGUCGGAAUAAGCUAUUCGGAUACUUUUAGUCCCCGGUUCUGUUGUUUUUGUAUCCGGUUCAGUUGUUUUUACAUGUCUGGACCGGGGUACCUGUGGUGCUUAUUCCAUUGGAGGAUAUCCCAUUCGAGGGUAAUCCCGGUUUGGGUAUAAGGAUACCCCGGUUUCGUGUAUUCCAUUCUAGGGAUAUUCCGGUGUGGGUUUAGGGGCUUGGGCUUAGGGUUGGGCUGGUGUUUUUGGGCUUUUGUUGCAGUGUUUGGGGCCGUGGAUUUAAUAAAUCCAACAUGCCAACUCUAGGCCAUUCAUGAUUUUAGUCCAACAAACCAAAUGGACCGUCUGAAUGAGGGGAAAAGAAUAAAGAAGCCAUCCACUAAGAAAUGAAGCUUCACUCUCCUUUGUUAUAGGGUUUAUGAAUAACGUCGAUUUCAAUCUCUCGUCUCCUGAUAUAUCUACAGCAUUAAAAGUCCACCGUUUCAUUCCAUCUUCGUUUGUUGGGUUUCGGCUCAGAUCGACUCGCGGGGAGACAAGAUGUUUGGGAGUAUGAUCCGGUACUUUUCAACGGAACCCAAGCAGAAUAUGAAGCCAAUCGAGUUGAAAACGUCGCCAGAGCAAAUGCAGACCAUAACCAAGUCGAUGAUACUUGGGAACGAGUCAAGGAGGUUGGAUUGAGAGGCCUUACCAGCAAGAGGCACAUGAAGAUCGUGCUGAGAUGGAUGAGAGAGAGACAAAAGAUUAGGCUAAUAUGCAACGUUGUGGGGCC
RNA transcript from Gossypium arboreum, 6613 nucleotides. It is a transcript of the gene named U11/U12 small nuclear ribonucleoprotein 25 kDa protein-like, with no coding region annotated. The record is from RefSeq and is a predicted model, not a curated record. The transcript is spliced from 14 exons. NCBI's taxonomy places the organism in Eukaryota, Viridiplantae, Streptophyta, Magnoliopsida, Malvales, Malvaceae.